CGGCGAGUGAGCGGCAGAGCUCAAAUUUGAAAGCUGGCCCCCUCGGGGUCCGCGUUGUAAUUUGCAGAGGAUGCUUCGGGUGCAGCCCCCGUCUAAGUGCCCUGGAACGGGCCGUCAUAGAGGGUGAGAAUCCCGUCUGGGACGGGGUGUCUGCGUCCGUGUGAAGCUCCUUCGACGAGUCGAGUUGUUUGGGAAUGCAGCUCUAAAUGGGUGGUAAAUUUCAUCUAAAGCUAAAUACUGGCCGGAGACCGAUAGCGCACAAGUAGAGUGAUCGAAAGAUGAAAAGCACUUUGAAAAGAGAGUUAAACAGCACGUGAAAUUGUUGAAAGGGAAGCGUUUGCGACCAGACUCGCCCGCGGGGUUCAGCCGGCACUCGUGCCGGUGUACUUCCCCGUGGGCGGGCCAGCGUCGGUUUGGGCGGCCGGUCAAAGGCCCUCGGAAUGUAUCACCUCUCGGGGUGUCUUAUAGCCGAGGGUGCAAUGCGGCCUGCCCGGACCGAGGAACGCGCUUCGGCUCGGACGCUGGCGUAAUGGUCGUAAAUGAC
RNAcentral lists this ribosomal RNA (544 nucleotides) under fungal endophyte. Its description in RNAcentral is "eukaryotic LSU rRNA". It matches the Rfam family "Eukaryotic large subunit ribosomal RNA", at positions 87 to 648 of the family's 3401-position model. The record is from RNAcentral. Lineage: Eukaryota; Fungi.